Molecule: long non-coding RNA, 246 nt
Filed under: Mytilus galloprovincialis (Mediterranean mussel)
Lineage: Eukaryota; Metazoa; Mollusca; Bivalvia; Mytilida; Mytilidae
Source: RNAcentral
GUCAAAUUCAUGUUCAUCGAUUUUAAUCAAAUUCACAUAACAUGUGGUGUUGAAUUGUUUAUUAAAAUUCCACGCACAAUCUUGGCUGAUAUGCAUAAAACCAUUAUUUCAUGAACCUGCAUGAAAUAUUGACUUAUCACAGAACUAAAAAAAUAAACCACCGAAAGUCCACAUAAGAGGAUAUAGAGAAUAACGGGCAAAGAAAAAAAGGAAUAAAGAAUAGUGAAAGAAAGAGAAUAAUGGUAA